GCCAUCGUCUCAGAUAGCCAUGCAUGUGUAAGUAUAAAUAAUUCUACUUUGAAACUGCGAAUGGCUCAUUAUAUCAGUUAUAGUUUAUUAGAAAUAAUUUACUACUUGGAUAACCGUAGUAAUUCUAGGGCUAAUACAUGAGUAAAUCCUCGACUUUGAAGAGGUGUGUUUAUUAGUAUGAAAACCAUAUGCUUUUGCAUAAUAGUGAGUAAUAAUAACCUUUCAUAUCGUAUGUUGUAAUAACGAUAGUUCUUUCAAGUUUCUGCCCUAUCAGCUUUCGAUGGUAGUGCAUUGGACUACCAUGGCAGUAACGGGUAACGAAGAAUUUGGGUUCGAUUUCGGAGAGGGAGCCUGAGAGAUGGCUACCACAUCCAAGGAAGGCAGCAGGCGCGUAAAUUACCCAAUCCUGACAUAGGGAGGUAGUGACAAUAAAUCACAAUGCGGGACUUUUAGUUUUGCAAUUGGAUUGAGAACAAUGUAAAAGAGUUAUCGAUAAACAAUUGGAGGGCAAGUCUGGUGCCAGCAGCCGCGGUAAUUCCAGCUCCAAUAGCGUAUAUUAACGUUGUUGAAAAAAAAAAAAUCUACAA
Molecule: ribosomal RNA, 587 nt
Filed under: Blastocystis sp.
Lineage: Eukaryota; Bigyra; Opalinata; Blastocystidae
Description: SSU rRNA
Rfam family: Eukaryotic small subunit ribosomal RNA
Source: RNAcentral